UAUAUAUUCUCUUCGUCCGAAAAUACUUGUCAUCAAAAUGAAUAAAAAGAGAUGUAUCUAAAACUAAAAUAUAUCUAUAUACAUCCACUUUUCUUUAUUUUGAUGAUAAGUAUUUUCGGACGGAGGGAGUAAGAA
Triticum aestivum (bread wheat) is the source of this 135-nucleotide non-coding RNA. Lineage: Eukaryota; Viridiplantae; Streptophyta; Magnoliopsida; Poales; Poaceae. The record is from Rfam.